GAGGAGGACUAGACCCAUCCACCCCCCCCUCCUGGUGAUUUUUUCCUGACCAGCACGGCAGGCUCGUGGGUAGCAGCAGGGAAGAGCUUUGCUCCGGCGGCGUGAGAGCAAAUCCUGCAGCGCAGUUGCGGUUUGCUCCCCGACCUCCCUGGUCCUACCUUUACCCCCAAGCCUCAAAAUCUGUCCCCAGUGCAAGGGACAAGGCCAUGCACCAGAAUCUCCACCUGAAGCUGGAAGUCUCCAAAGCAUCACCCAGGUUCAGCUGCUUCAGGAAUGGGAUCAGGAGGUUUUGGGAGUGAAUCACAGAAGGAGAAACACCAUCCACCCCAGCAUCU
Molecule: long non-coding RNA, 335 nt
Organism: Catharus ustulatus (Swainson's thrush)
Lineage: Eukaryota; Metazoa; Chordata; Aves; Passeriformes; Turdidae
Exons: 3
Source: RefSeq, a predicted model, not a curated record